CCAUGACAGAGGCUGAUGUGAAUCCGAAGGCCUAUCCCCUCGCAGAUGCCCACUUCACCAAGAAGCUACUGGACCUUGUUCAGCAGUCGUGUAACUACAAGCAGCUUCGGAAAGGAGCCAAUGAAGCCACCAAAACCCUCAACAGAGGCAUCUCUGAGUUCAUUGUGAUGGCAGCAGAUGCUGAGCCCUUGGAGAUCAUCCUGCACCUCCCUCUGCUGUGUGACUACAAGAAUGUCCCCUACAUAUUUGUGCGCUCCAAGCAGGCUUUAGGACAGGCCUGUGGCGUCUCCAGGCCAGUCAUCGCCUGUUCUGUUACCAUCAAAGAAGGCUCUCAACUGAAACAGCAGAUCCAGUCCAUCCAGCAGUCUACUGAAAGGCUCUUGGUGUAGGCUGUGGACCCUGCCCCCUCCUGUCUACUCCCACCCUGUCUAUGUAUCAUACUGUCUGUUAGCAUGUACUAUUUCCAGCCAGUUUCUAUUAUAUUGUACUACAUCUGG
This is an RNA transcript of Mastomys coucha (southern multimammate mouse), 497 nucleotides long. It is a transcript of the gene named NHP2-like protein 1 pseudogene, with no coding region annotated. The transcript has a single exon. Lineage: Eukaryota; Metazoa; Chordata; Mammalia; Rodentia; Muridae. The record is from RefSeq and is a predicted model, not a curated record.